This 372-nucleotide ribosomal RNA is filed under the name uncultured organism. RNAcentral describes it as "bacterial SSU rRNA". It matches the Rfam family "Bacterial small subunit ribosomal RNA", at positions 526 to 896 of the family's 1533-position model. The record is from RNAcentral.
CAGAGGGGGCAAGCGUUGUUCGGAAUUACUGGGCGUAAAGGGCGCGUAGGCGGCCCGCUAAGUCGAACGUGAAAUCCCUGGGCUCAACCCAGGAACUGCGUCCGAUACUGGCGGGCUUGAAUCCGGGAGAGGGAUGCGGAAUUCCAGGUGUAGCGGUGAAAUGCGUAGAUAUCUGGAGGAACACCGGUGGCGAAGGCGGCAUCCUGGACCGGCAUUGACGCUGAGGCGCGAAAGCCAGGGGAGCAAACGGGAUCAGAUACCCCGGUAGUCCUGGCCCUAAACGAUGAAUGCUUGGUGUGGCGGGUAUCGAUCCCUGCCGUGCCGAAGCUAACGCAUUAAGCAUUCCGCCUGGGGAGUACGGUCGCAAGGCUG